Molecule: ribosomal RNA, 446 nt
Filed under: uncultured bacterium
Lineage: Bacteria
Description: partial 16S ribosomal RNA
Rfam family: Bacterial small subunit ribosomal RNA
Source: RNAcentral
CCUACGGGCGGCAGCAGUCGAGAAUCAUUCACAAUGGGGGAAACCCUGAUGGUGCGACGCCGCGUGGGGGAAUGAAGGUCUUCGGAUUGUAAACCCCUGUCAUGUGGGAGCAAAUUAAAAAGAUAGUACCACAAGAGGAAGAGACGGCUAACUCUGUGCCGGCAGCCGCGGUAAUACAGGGGUAUCAAGCGUUGUUCGGAAUCACUGGGCGUAAAGGGUUCGUAGGCUGUUUCGUAAGUCGUGUGUGAAAGGCGCGGGCUCAACCCGCGGACGGCACAUGAUACUGCGAGACUAGAGUGAUGGAGGGGGAACCGGAAUUCUCGGUGUAGCAGUGAAAUGCGUAGAUAUCAAGAGGAACACUGGUGGCGAAGGCGGGUUCCUGGACAUUAACUGACGCUGAGGCACGAAGGCCAGGGGAGCGAAAGGGAUUAGAUACCCCAGUAGUC